AGUCAACAUGCAACAUUUCAGUGUUGAGUGCUUAGCAUGGUUAGAAUGCUUAGAAUCCUUACCAGCGAGAUUUGGAAAAGAUCAUCAGCUGCUGCAGAAAGGGAUGGUCACUUGACUGUGUCUUUCAUGAGUGACACGUGGGAUGUGACCCUGUAAGAUCAUUUAUAUUUCAGCUCUCACUUUUGGUUUUGUUCCCUCCAGGAACAGCCGGUCAGAUGGCAAAGCCAGUCACCACUGUGCAGCUCAAGAUUGAUUUGGAGAAUCUCACAGUGCAGGUGAAGUGGCACAAUCCUGAAUGUCUGGAAGGGGAGAAUCAAACCAACACUGAGUCUCUGGUAGAAAAAUGUAUGAAUUUCACCAGCUCAAACCUGUGUACAGCCCACACAGGAAUCUGUGUGUCUGGGGUUGUCAUCACAACACCAAACUCAAGAGAUGCUGGAAAUCAAACCAACACUGUGUUUCUGGCUGGAAACUGUAUGAAUUUCACCAGCUCAAGGCUGUGUACACUCUGCACAGGAAUCUGUGUGUGCAGGGUCUUCAUCACAAGACCAAACUCGACAGAUGCUGGAAACAGCACGCAAGCAGCAAAUCUCAGCUCUGGCUGUGCAGGAUCUCAGACUGAUGUCACAGUCAAGAUCUGGAAAGGACUCCUGUGCAUCCUCCUUGGCUUCGCGGCUGGGACGCUCCUUUACAUGCCCAUAAUUGGCUUCCUGCUGUGCCAGUGCAGAAGGAACAGAACAGGAGAGCUCAUAAGCGUGGAAGUGACAGAGGAGAAUCAAGUCAGUACGGCAGCCCCGGUGACAGGAACUGAGGAUCUGACCUAUGCCAACCUGAAAUUUGAAAAGAAGGGGACAGGAUCUGCCUCCUCCAAUGUCAUUUACACUGAGAUCAAGCCAUUGCAACAGAAGCAGAGUGGUGGGGAUGGCAGCGCUGCCUGCACUGAGGUGGAUGUCUCCCCCAAGGAAGAGGGCAAGUGAGGGAGGUGAGCAGCUUAUUGUCCACCUGUUGGGGUCUUCCUCCUCAAAACUAGCUGUUAGCUCACACAGCAGUGCAGUCUUGGGGAUCACCUAUUACCCCUGAGUGGCUGCAGAACCCUGCUUUAUGUUCCCCUGGAAGAAGCCAUGUGAGGACAGGGCUCUUGAGCCCAUUUUCCCCUUGCCUUCUGCAGCUCCAAGCACUGCCAAGCUUCAGCAAUUAUUUUCACUGUCUCCAGUUGCUGACAGGCUCCUCCUGCUGCUUGUUCCAUGCUCAGGAAUGUCACUGUACACUGUGUGGCCAGCAUGGUGUUCAGGAAGAGCUUGGUCCUGGAUGUGCUGGGUGGCACAUGCUGGCCAUCCAGAGAAGUCCUGGAUCAAUAUUCUGGAUUUUCUCUGGAGCAGGCACCUGCUGUGAAGUGCCUUUGUUUCAUUCACUCACUUGAAGCACAAGGGGCAAAGAUGGAAAAGCAUUGCUUGCUUCACAGAGGUGCUGCUGCAGUGAUGCACAUGGAUCUGCUUUGUACUGGGAGUAGCUGGGUGUUUUUGCUGGCUUGGUGGUGAAUACCCUUCUCCUGGGUAGAGCACUCUCUUUUGUGCCCUUUUAUUGAUAAUGUUGUGUUUAUUGUGAAUUUUUCAGUAAAAUUAUCAUUCCUACAUGUGGUCUCAC
This is a long non-coding RNA of Junco hyemalis (dark-eyed junco), 1644 nucleotides long. Lineage: Eukaryota; Metazoa; Chordata; Aves; Passeriformes; Passerellidae. The record is from Ensembl.